GUUUCGCAAACUUCAGCCCCUGUCUGGGAUGAGAGUGCCUCCUUUCUCAUCAGGAAACCACACACUGAGAACCUAGAGUUGCAGGUUCGGGGUGAGGGCACUGGCGUGCUGGGCUCAUUAUCCCUGCCCCUCUCAGAGCUCCUCGUGGCUGACCAGCUAUGCUUGGACCGCUGGUUUACACUCAACAGUGGUCAGGGGCAGGUGCUACUGAGAGCACAGCUAGGGAUCCUGGUGUCCCAGCACUCGGGAGUGGAAGCUCAUAGCCACAGCUACAGCCACAGCUCCUCAUCUCUGAGUGAAGAACCAGAGCUCUCGGGGGGACCCCCUCACAUCACCUCUUCAGCCCCAGAGCUCCGGCAGCGCCUAACACAUGUUGACAGUUCCCUUGAGGCUCCAGCCGGGCCUCUGGGCCAGGUGAAACUGACUGUGUGGUACUACAGUGAAGAACGAAAGCUGGUCAGCAUUGUUCAUGGUUGCCGGUGAGACCCCAUCCCUCCUGUCCUCCAGAUCGCCUCCAUCCCUUCCCUCAGGUUACCGUAUCACCUACAUCCUCCUGUUGUAGG
Molecule: small RNA, 563 nt
Filed under: Pongo abelii (Sumatran orangutan)
Lineage: Eukaryota; Metazoa; Chordata; Mammalia; Primates; Hominidae
Description: retained intron
Source: RNAcentral